CAACGCGACCCCAGGUCAUGCGGGGCUACCCGCUGAGUUU
This 40-nucleotide ribosomal RNA is filed under the name Ficus subpisocarpa. RNAcentral describes it as "partial 28S ribosomal RNA". The record is from RNAcentral. Lineage: Eukaryota; Viridiplantae; Streptophyta; Magnoliopsida; Rosales; Moraceae.